RNAcentral lists this ribosomal RNA (207 nucleotides) under uncultured bacterium. RNAcentral describes it as "partial 16S ribosomal RNA". It matches the Rfam family "Bacterial small subunit ribosomal RNA", at positions 568 to 774 of the family's 1533-position model. The record is from RNAcentral.
CGCGUAGGUGGUCGUUUAAGUCUGUUGUGAAAGCCCUGGGCUCAACCUGGGAACUGCAGUGGAAACUGGACGACUAGAGUGUGGUAGAGGGUAGCGGAAUUCCUGGUGUAGCAGUGAAAUGCGUAGAGAUCGGGAAGAACACCAAUGGCGAAAGCACUCUGCUGGGCCGAAACUGACACUCAGAGACGAAAGCUAGGGGAGCGAAUG